This 214-nucleotide ribosomal RNA is filed under the name uncultured bacterium. RNAcentral's name for it is "partial 16S ribosomal RNA". It matches the Rfam family "Bacterial small subunit ribosomal RNA", at positions 118 to 347 of the family's 1533-position model. The record is from RNAcentral.
UGGGAACCUGCCUUGUGGUCUGGGAUAACCGCGGGAAACUGCGGCUAAUACCGGGUAAGCCCUUCGGGGGAAAGAUUUAUCGCCAUGAGAGGGGCCCGCGUCGGAUUAGGUAGUUGGUGGGGUAACGGCUACCAAGCCUGCGAUCCGUAGCUGGUCUGAGAGGAUGAUCAGCCACACUGGGACUGAGAUACGGCCCAGACUCCUACGGGAGCAG